UACGGGGGGGGCAAGCGUUGUUCGGAAUUACUGGGCGUAAAGGGCUCGUAGGUGGCCAACUAAGUCAGACGUGAAAUCCCUCGGCUUAACCGGGGAACUGCGUCUGAUACUGGAUGGCUUGAGUUCGGGAGAGGGAUGCGGAAUUCCAGGUGUAGCGGUGAAAUGCGUAGAUAUCUGGAGGAACACCGGUGGCGAAGGCGGCAUCCUGGACCGACACUGACGCUGAGGCACGAAAGCGUGGGGAGCAAACAGG
This 253-nucleotide ribosomal RNA is filed under the name uncultured bacterium. RNAcentral's name for it is "partial 16S ribosomal RNA". It matches the Rfam family "Bacterial small subunit ribosomal RNA", at positions 524 to 776 of the family's 1533-position model. The record is from RNAcentral.